This 1480-nucleotide ribosomal RNA is filed under the name metagenome. Its description in RNAcentral is "bacterial SSU rRNA". It matches the Rfam family "Bacterial small subunit ribosomal RNA". The record is from RNAcentral.
AGAGUUUGAUCCUGGCUCAGGACAAACGCUGGCGGCGUGCCUAAUACAUGCAAGUUGAACGAUGAGGCUUCUUCGGAAGUACAUCAGUAGCGGACGGGUGAGUAACGCGUAGAAAAUCUGCCUCUAAGAGGGGGACAACAGUUGGAAGCGACUGCUAAUACCCCAUAUGAGAUUAGCUGAAAUGCUUUUCUUGAAAGUUCCGGCGCUUAGAGAUGAGUCUGCGUCUGAUUAGUUUGUUGGUGGGGUAAAGGCCUACCAAGACGAUGAUCAGUAGCUGGUUUGAGAGGAUGAUCAGCCACGAUGGGACUGAGACACGGCCCAUACUCCUACGGGAGGCAGCAGUAGGGAAUUUUGCGCAAUGGACGAAAGUCUGACGCAGCAACGCCGCGUGAGUGAUGACGCCUUUAGGGGUGUAAAGCUCUGUCAGUAGGGAUGAAUAAAUGACAGUACCUACAAAGGAAGCAUCGGCUAACUACGUGCCAGCAGCCGCGGUAAGACGUAGGAUGCAAGCGUUGUCCGGAUUUAUUGGGCGUAAAGAGUUCGUAGGUGGCACGCAAAGUCUGAUGUUAAAGGCUGGGGCUCAACUCCAGUACGGCAUUGGAUACUGGCAAGCUAGAGUACGGUAGAGGCAAGGGGAAUUCCUAGUGUAGCGGUGAAAUGCGUAGAUAUUAGGAGGAACACCAGUGGCGAAAGCGCCUUGCUGGGCCGUAACUGACGCUGAGGAACGAAAGCUAGGGUAGCGAAUGGGAUUAGAUACCCCAGUAGUCCUAGCCGUAAACGAUGGAUACUAGGUGUUGUGGGUAUCGACCCCUACAGUGCCGAAGUUAACGCGAUAAGUAUCCCGCCUGGGGAGUACGCACGCAAGUGUAAAACUCAAAGGAAUUGACGGGGACCCGCACAAGCGGUGGAACAUGUGGUUUAAUUCGAAGCAACGCGAAGAACCUUACCGGGGCUUGACAUCCCAAGAAUCCCGGCGAAAGUUGGGAGUGCUCUUCGGAGAACUUGGUGACAGGUGGUGCAUGGUUGUCGUCAGCUCGUGUCGUGAGAUGUUGGGUUAAGUCCCGCAACGAGCGCAACCCUUGUUGUUAGUUGGUGGCAAGAGUACACUCUUGUCGAUCUCUCUAGCAAGACUGCCGGUAAUAAACCGGAGGAAGGUGAGGACGACGUCAAAUCAUCAUGCCCCUUAUGCUCUGGGCUACACACGUGUUACAAUGGGUAAGACAACGAGCAGCCAGCUGGCAACAGUGAGCGAAUCUCUUAAACUUAUCCUCAGUUCGGAUUGUAGUCUGCAACUCGACUACAUGAAGCUGGAAUCGCUAGUAAACGCAGAUCAGCACGCUGCGUUGAAUACGUUCCCGGGUCUUGUACACACCGCCCGUCACACCAUGGAAGUAGACCACGCCCGAAGUCGGUGAGCUAACCUUUUGGAAGCAGCCGCCUAAGGUAGGGUUUGUAACUAGGGUGAAGUCGUAACAAGGUA